AUUGAACGCUGGCGGCAUGCCUUACACAUGCAAGUCGAACGGUAACAGGUCUUCGGAUGCUGACGAGUGGCGAACGGGUGAGUAAUACAUCGGAACGUGCCUAGUAGUGGGGGAUAACUACUCGAAAGAGUGGCUAAUACCGCAUGAGAUCUACGGAUGAAAGCAGGGGAUCGCAAGACCUUGUGCUACUAGAGCGGCCGAUGGCAGAUUAGGUAGUUGGUGGGAUAAAAGCUUAACAAGCCGACUAUCUGUAGCUGGUCUGAGAGGACGAUCAGCCACACUGGGACUGAGACACGGCCCAGACUCCUACGGGAGGCAGCAGUGGGGAAUUUUGGACAAUGGGCAAAAGCCUGAUCCAGCAAUGCCGCGUGCAGGAUGAAGGCCUUCGGGUUGUAAACUGCUUUUGUACGGAACGAAAAGCCCCGGGUUAAUACCCUGGGGUCAUGACGGUACCGUAAGAAUAAGCACCGGCUAACUACGUGCCAGCCGCCGCAGUAA
RNAcentral lists this ribosomal RNA (498 nucleotides) under uncultured bacterium. RNAcentral's name for it is "partial 16S ribosomal RNA". It matches the Rfam family "Bacterial small subunit ribosomal RNA", at positions 30 to 523 of the family's 1533-position model. The record is from RNAcentral.